CCGGCCCGGCCCGGUCCCGCACAGCUCCCCCCGGCCCCGCACAGCCCAGCCCAGCCCGGCCCGGUCCCGCACAGAUCCGCCCGGCCCCGCACAGCCCGGCCCGGUCCCGCACAGCCCAGCGUUCCCUACGUUUGUGAAGCUUUAAAAGCCAGUGCUGUGUCACUUGCCAGAAGCAGCGCUGAAAUGAGAAAUAGGAUAAAUUUUAGCAAUAAAUCAAUCACCUGGCUUCUGUUUUAACAUGGACCUCAGUGCGUUUGCAAGCACAACAUAUUCAUAUUUUGUGUAAGACUUAGUCCUAAACAACUUCCCUUGGAAGACACUAUAAUUCACCUCUCUAGAGGACAGUAUCUGUUCUGUAAAUAGGGAGAAUGCCAAAUUUCCAGGUAACACACCUAUUUCCUGGGAUUAAAUACUGCUUGCUGACAGAACGGAAAGCUUUAUUCUGUCUAUUAAACUGGGAAAAUACAAAGGAAGUCUGGGAUCUGCAUUGUAGGCACUGAGCAGUUCAGCUGACAUGAAAUUGAUGCCAACCUUAAGAAACCUGAGCUGAAACACUGUCUACAUCCCUCAGGCCACCCAACUGCCUUCAGAAUCCACUACCUGGCUGAGGAGGUAACAUCACUCACCUAUCACAAGCAAUGGUGAUAAAGAUGAGUGUUGCUG
Molecule: long non-coding RNA, 663 nt
Filed under: Cyanistes caeruleus (blue tit)
Lineage: Eukaryota; Metazoa; Chordata; Aves; Passeriformes; Paridae
Description: lncRNA (ENSCCEG00000018432.1)
Source: RNAcentral